Molecule: microRNA precursor, 93 nt
Filed under: Canis lupus dingo (dingo)
Lineage: Eukaryota; Metazoa; Chordata; Mammalia; Carnivora; Canidae
Description: mir-8834 microRNA precursor family
Rfam family: mir-8834 microRNA precursor family
Source: Rfam by way of RNAcentral
AGGAGGAACAGCCCCAGUGGCGGGGCAGCUCUGGAAACCUGGAUUCAGCUCCGGCAGGAACUCGUCUGCAGGGCCUGGAGGCUCCGGGGCGGG